Long non-coding RNA from Etheostoma spectabile (orangethroat darter), 80 nucleotides. RefSeq lists it as uncharacterized. Lineage: Eukaryota; Metazoa; Chordata; Actinopteri; Perciformes; Percidae. The transcript has 3 exons. The record is from RefSeq and is a predicted model, not a curated record.
UUUUAACAAAACAUGAAAGAAUAAGUAGUGACAGCUAAAAAGUUUAAUUACAACUAAAUCUGGUUUACAGUUUGCAGCAU